This 467-nucleotide ribosomal RNA is filed under the name uncultured bacterium. Its description in RNAcentral is "bacterial SSU rRNA". It matches the Rfam family "Bacterial small subunit ribosomal RNA", at positions 355 to 825 of the family's 1533-position model. The record is from RNAcentral.
UGAGGAAUAUUGGACAAUGGGCGCAAGCCUGAUCCAGCCAUGCCGCGUGCAGGAUGACGGUCCUAUGGAUUGUAAACUGCUUUUGUACAGGAAGAAACAGUUCUACGUGUAGAACCUUGACGGUACUGUAAGAAUAAGGAUCGGCUAACUCCGUGCCAGCAGCCGCGGUAAUACGGAGGAUCCAAGCGUUAUCCGGAAUCAUUGGGUUUAAAGGGUCCGUAGGCGGUUAGAUAAGUCAGUGGUGAAAGCCCAUCGCUCAACGGUGGAACGGCCAUUGAUACUGUCUGACUUGAAUUAUUAGGAAGUAACUAGAAUAUGUAGUGUAGCGGUGAAAUGCUUAGAGAUUACAUGGAAUACCAAUUGCGAAGGCAGGUUACUACUAAUGGAUUGACGCUGAUGGACGAAAGCGUGGGUAGCGAACAGGAUUAGAUACCCUAGUAGUCCCUGAGCGGGCUGGCAAGGCGCAU